Molecule: transfer RNA, 70 nt
Filed under: Cavia porcellus (domestic guinea pig)
Lineage: Eukaryota; Metazoa; Chordata; Mammalia; Rodentia; Caviidae
Rfam family: tRNA
About the family: Transfer RNA (tRNA) molecules are approximately 80 nucleotides in length. Their secondary structure includes four short double-helical elements and three loops (D, anti-codon, and T loops).
Source: Rfam by way of RNAcentral
GGCGAUGUGGCUCAGUGGUAGAACUUUUGCCUUCCAUGUCAGGCCUUGGGUUCAAUACCCAGCAUCACCA